Molecule: ribosomal RNA, 465 nt
Filed under: uncultured bacterium
Lineage: Bacteria
Description: partial 16S ribosomal RNA
Rfam family: Bacterial small subunit ribosomal RNA
Source: RNAcentral
GACGAACGCUGGCGGCACGCUUAACACAUGCAAGUCGAACGAGAGAAGAGAAGCUUGCUUUUCUGAUCUAGUGGCGGACGGGUGAGUAACACGUGAGCAAUCUGCCUUUCAGAGGGGGAUACCGAUUGGAAACGAUCGUUAAUACCGCAUAACAUAAUUGAACCGCAUGAUUUGAUUAUCAAAGAUUUAUCGCUGAAAGAUGAGCUCGCGUCUGAUUAGCUAGUUGGUAAGGUAACGGCUUACCAAGGCGACGAUCAGUAGCCGGACUGAGAGGUUGAUCGGCCACAUUGGGACUGAGACACGGCCCAGACUCCUACGGGAGGCAGCAGUGGGGAAUAUUGCACAAUGGAGGAAACUCUGAUGCAGCGAUGCCGCGUGAGGGAAGAAGGUUUUAGGAUUGUAAACCUCUGUCUUCAGGGACGAAAAAAGACGGUACCUGAGGUGGAAGCGCCGGCUAACUACGUG